GACGAACGCCGGCGGCGUGCUUAACACAUGCAAGUCGAACGGAAAGGCCCUGCUUGCAGGGUACUCGAGUGGCGAACGGGUGAGUAACACGUGGGUGAUCUGCCCUGCACUUCGGGAUAAGCCUGGGAAACUGGGUCUAAUACCGGAUAGGAGCCAUCUUGAGGGUGAGGGUUGGAAAGUAUUUUCGGUGUAGGAUGGGCUCGCGGCCUGUCUGCUUGUUGGUGGGGUGAUGGCCUACCAAGGCGGCGACGGGUGGGCGGCCUGCGUGGGUGGACGGCCACAUUGGGGCCUGGGUACGGCCCAGGCUCCUACGGGGGGCAGCAGGGGGGAAUAUUGCACAAUGGGGGGGAGGCUGAUGCAGCGACGCCGCGUGGGGGAUGACGGCCUUCGGGUUGCAAACUCCUUUCGCUAGGGACGAAGCUGUUUGUGACGGUACCUAGAUAAGAAGCACCGGCUAACUACGUG
Molecule: ribosomal RNA, 465 nt
Filed under: uncultured bacterium
Lineage: Bacteria
Description: partial 16S ribosomal RNA
Rfam family: Bacterial small subunit ribosomal RNA
Source: RNAcentral